Long non-coding RNA from Solanum tuberosum (potato), 688 nucleotides. RefSeq lists it as uncharacterized. NCBI's taxonomy places the organism in Eukaryota, Viridiplantae, Streptophyta, Magnoliopsida, Solanales, Solanaceae. The transcript has 2 exons. The record is from RefSeq and is a predicted model, not a curated record.
AAAAAAAACAAAUGAAAAAUCAUUGGCAUGGCAUGAAAGCCGAGUGGACUCUUUUUAAGCAAUUGAUGAGAGGGGAUACAUGUAUAGGAUGGGAUGCCACCAAAAAUACAAUUAUGACAGAUGAUGAUUGGUGGAAGCGAAAAAUUAAGGAGGAUGUUCAAUAUAGAAAAUUUAGGAAUAAGGAUCUUUCACUCAUAUGGUUUCGCUAUGAUGCAUUAUUUUCUGACAUUAUUGCUACGGGGGAAAGAGCACGUGCCUCAAAUCAACCCCAAUUUUUUGAAACUGGAUAAAUUUUGACGAAGAAAUACCAAAUGAUAUUGAUAAUGAUGGUAUGGAGCACUUCAUUAAUACUAAUGAUGAAGGGGGUGAUGAAAGUGAUGAUCCACAAGAUAUGGAUUCUACUAUGUUUCCUAAACCAUCACUAAAAAGACAAAUUUCAACUGAUGGUAUUGGAACUAGUAAUCAAGUGAAAAAAAGUAAGACAAAAUCUACAGCUGCAUCAAUGAAAGAAGAUAUGCACUCUUUAGUAGAGUUAAUGUCUAACAAAAGUACUGCUGCAUCUCAUGCUGUAGAUGAUCCCACCAUUGAUAAGUGUAUGGAUUUUUUGGCAAACAUUCCUGGCAUUUUUGAAAGGGGUGAAAUGUACAACUAUUUUGUGAACAUGUUUCUUAAAAAAGACAUUCGACAA